GCCCCCAUAACUUAAUUGGAAAAGUACUUCCCUCUUAAGGAAGGAUUCCAGGUUCGAGUCCUGGUGGGGGCA
Molecule: transfer RNA, 72 nt
Filed under: Bacillota bacterium
Lineage: Bacteria; Bacillati; Bacillota
Description: tRNA-Lys
Rfam family: tRNA
About the family: Transfer RNA (tRNA) molecules are approximately 80 nucleotides in length. Their secondary structure includes four short double-helical elements and three loops (D, anti-codon, and T loops).
Source: RNAcentral